AGUGAACGCUGGCGGUAGGCCUAACACAUGCAAGUCGAACGGCAGCACAGUAAGAGCUUGCUCUUACGGGUGGCGAGUGGCGGACGGGUGAGGAAUACAUCGGAAUCUACUUUUUCGUGGGGGAUAACGUAGGGAAACUUACGCUAAUACCGCAUACGACCUACGGGUGAAAGCAGGGGAUCUUCGGACCUUGCGCGAUUGAAUGAGCCGAUGUCGGAUUAGCUAGUUGGCGGGGUAAAGGCCCACCAAGGCGACGAUCCGUAGCUGGUCUGAGAGGAUGAGCACCCACUCUGGAACUGAGACACGGUCCAGUCUCCUGCGGGAGGCAGGAGGGGGAAAUAUGGACAAGGGGCGAAAGCCUGAGCCAGCCAUACCGCGUGGGUGAAGAAGGCCUUCGGGUUGUAAAGCCCUUUUGUUGGGAAAGAAAAGCAGCAGGUUAAUACCCCGCUGUUCUGACGGUACCAAAAGAAUAAGCACCGGCUAACUUCGU
RNAcentral lists this ribosomal RNA (490 nucleotides) under uncultured bacterium. RNAcentral describes it as "partial 16S ribosomal RNA". It matches the Rfam family "Bacterial small subunit ribosomal RNA", at positions 29 to 506 of the family's 1533-position model. The record is from RNAcentral.